This is a long non-coding RNA of Bubalus bubalis (water buffalo), 747 nucleotides long. RefSeq lists it as uncharacterized. Lineage: Eukaryota; Metazoa; Chordata; Mammalia; Artiodactyla; Bovidae. The transcript has 5 exons. The record is from RefSeq and is a predicted model, not a curated record.
CCACAGACGGCGUCAGACUCGGGGUCCGAGAGGGAACCUUCCUCUCUGUUUUCCAGAGUGUACUUGUUGAUUUCUGCCAUUUUCUGCAAAUGAAAAAUAUCUUCUUAAUCCAGAGAGAAAAGCCAACCCAGGGAAGUCACGAAAACCCCUUGUGGCACAUGGACCCAGACGUGGCCCCUCCGAGGGGCACAGCGCACACGACCAAGGAUCAAACCCACAUCCCCUGCACUGCAAGGCAGAUUCUUAACCACAGCCCACCAGGGAAGCCCCAAGAUGUUUGUAAGAAAUGAGCAGAAGAGAAAGAACAGAGCACGAGUAACAGCGUCACGCUCCACACUGAGAUGCAGCGUUUCCAGCACACAGGGUAUCCUCCUGUACCCUGCACGUGUGAUGUCAGGCUGCAGCGAAGCUGGGACAGCAGUGUGGAGGGGCACGGCAGGUGGGAGUGCGACAGAAGAGCCUCCACCUGGCAGGACCAGAGGCCUGGGGAGAAGGGAGCAACUGCCAAGCAGGCUCUGAUCCUGCAUUCAACUUGGAAACAGAAAGAAAAGGUGACACGGCCAGUCUCCACCCUAGACUACAACUUGACCACUGCUGGGCCACACUGCAGGGGAAGGACCCUAACUUCCUUGCUGAGACCACAGACACAUAUCCCUGGGAGUGUGGAAGAACCCCUCUGCUCCAGCUGAGGGGACCAGGACCCACCAUCUCCAGCAGCAACUAAUAAAAUAAAAAGAUGGAAAGAUA